Molecule: ribosomal RNA, 253 nt
Filed under: uncultured bacterium
Lineage: Bacteria
Description: partial 16S ribosomal RNA
Rfam family: Bacterial small subunit ribosomal RNA
Source: RNAcentral
GAUCCUGUCUCAGGACGAACGCUGGCGGCGUGCUUAACACAUGCAAGUCGAACGCUGAAUCCCAGCUUGCUGGGUGGAUGAGUGGCGAACGGGUGAGUAACACGUGAGUAACCUGCCCCCUUCUUUGGGAUAACGCCCGGAAACGGGUGCUAAUACUGGAUAUUCACUGGCCUUCGCAUGGGGUUGGUGGAAAGGUUUUUUCUUGGUGGGGGAGUGGGCUCGCGGCCUAUCAGCUUGUUGGUGGGGUGGAUGG